CAGCAUAUGGGACUGAAGGACCACAGAGAUGCAGCCCAAAGAUGAGCUUCUGGGGCCUAGAGCAGCUUCUAUGAGAUCUCAGAGCCUGGCAUGCUAGGGGCUCCCAUGGAGCCCAGAGAAGGUGCUAGAAGCCUGCGCAGAGCUCUGGAAGCCAGCCAGCCAGUCCAUGCAGACGAUGUGAUUCCUGGUAGGGGUCUUGGGUCAGCUGGGAUCACUCUACUUCCGGAGGGGCAGGAGACGAAGUCAGCCACAGGGGACACAUGACCAACAACCUCAACAAAAACCCUGGACACUAAGGCACAGAGCGCCAGCUCCUGGGAGCAGAGUACUGGUGUCUGGUUACCCUCUGCCCUGCGAAGCUACUCAUCCCUGUCCUGAAGACCCCACUGCUGAGGAUCUCCUGUAGUUUUGUGGAAGCGUGCAAAUGAAUCCGCCAUGCCCACAGUGCUGCCCACACGGGAGGACACUGUGUAUCUUCAACAACAACACACCACCUUGCAAGGACCUGCCAGAGAUGGAUGUGCACGAUUCAGGCCCCAGGGUGAUGUCAGUUCUGUUUCCUUCCCCAUGGAGGAGAGUCUUUUCCUGAGGACAGAUUCUUAGCUGGAAGAGGGCCAGGCCCAAGCCUGUCUGAAUUUCCUGCGUCUGAGCAUCUGGGGGAGCGGCAGACAGCUGAUGCUAGAAUUCCAGACGAGAUGAAGGAGAAAGCCUCAAUUUUUUAGCAACGUGAAGAAACGGGCUGUUCCGGGUGCUGCUCAGCCCCCAGCGGUCUCGGCGGGCGUCCCCAACCAGUGUCUGCAGACCCUGCCACCCAGGUCCAGCUCCCUGUCUCUCUCUGUGUUGGAUCUCUGGCCUCUUGAUGCACCUCCAAUUCUGUCUCUGUCUCUCUCUGUGUUGGUAUCUGUGUGCAUUCUUUCUCCAUCUCUCUACGUCUCUGAGAGUUCUUCCACGGGACAGCUCUGUCCUUGUGUCUCUGGAUCUGUCUGUCUCUCUCUCUCCACAUGUCUCUGGUUUUCUGUGUGAGCCAUUCUCUCCUUCAUUCACUCCUUCUACCUUUCCUGCUCCCUUUCUCCCCAGGUCAUCUCCAGAGUACACGUCCCAUGAUGAAAAGAUCUAGGACAAUGUGUGGUCCUCUCUCCGGGGCCACCAGGAAAGCAGGACACUUGUUCUGGCUUCACCCCUUCCUGGGGGGUAACCAGAUGCCAGGGCUCCUGACCCCAGAGAGCUGAUGCUAUAGGGGGACAGUCAGAGGAUAAAUAAGCAGGACAAAUGUAUAGCGUCAGGUCAUGCUAUGAAUCACAGAAUAAGGGGCUGCUACUUCAGAGGGGCACAGGAUGCCCUCCCAAUGACAUGACAUUUGAACAGGGACUUGAAUGCAUUGAGGAGUUGGUCCAUGUGAGUGUCUGGAAAAGAGAACAGCAUGUGCAAAGGCCCUGUGGUAGGACGCUGAAGCUGCCUUUCCUGGGCAGGAUACUUAUUGAACAGGACACAGCUCCUCCCUGGUUUCCUUGCUUAAGGCCACUGGCUUCCAGGGGCCUGGAAUUGGACUGUGUCAUGAAGUAAGGGCGCUUCAGAUUUCAACCUCUGGUCUUGCCAACUUAGUGACGGACAGGGCUGGGGCCCUCCUGGGGGAAGUCAGCAGGAGGACAUCACACACACACACACACACACACACACACACACACACACAAGUUGUGGACAGCUGGGGAGGGCAGGGACACCUGUCCUAUCUGGGGGCCUCAAGCUGGACUCUCCCAGACAGAGCUCCAGAACAUUCAGUAGGGACGGCCUUGGCCUCCUUCCAUCGGCUCAGUCUCCCCUGUCAUUCCCACACUACAGCGGGCUCCUGCGGCCCCAGGGGAAUAGAAGCCUCUUUGUCCACAUCAGCUUCAGUCAGGGGCCGUGGACAUAGCAAGGCCACUCGACAAUCCAGCCGCUGGUUGAAGCCCCACAUUGCAAGACAUCUGUGCACUUUCUUCAAACAUAGCAUCCAUGCUAAUAAGGCAAAUAAACACAGCAUUUAAAGAUCAGAGGCAGGGCAGUUACAGCCUAUUAAAUUAAAUUCACCGUCAAGGGUGAAAGAGAAGAUAAACUGGGAUUAUUCCAGUCAUGGCAAUUAAAAAAGAAAGAAAGAAAGAAAUAAAAAAGGAACAUUUAGAGAGAGAGAUGUAAUUUCUCAGUCCCCGAAGCAGUGACAGCAGCUGCCACGCCAGAGGCGGUGGUUUGGAAAGGCACCUCGACUCCCUCCUCGCCCAGGCAGCUCCCUCCUGAGUCUGUCACUGAACCCCAGAUCCUGGCACACACCCCGUCAGGCAAGGAGGUGGAAUCUCGUAGAACUACCUCUCUCUCUCUCUCUCUCGUAUAUUUUUUAUUGGAGUUCGAUUUGCCGACAUAUAGCAUUACACCUGGUACUCAUCCUGUCAAGAGCCCCCCUCAGUGCCCACCUCUCAAGCCCAGUGAGGCCGCUGCCAGGAGGUGGGAGGUGAGCAUGGCCUCCUUGGCCUCCCGCCUCCCUCGCCCUGCAGAGCCCUUUCUUUCUGGUGGCUCGUCCCAGGCCUUUCAGAGCUUCGCUCUCCCCACCUGGGCAGUGGGAAUGACAGGAAUGCCCUCCGUGUCUGCCUCAAGGUCCUCCUCUUGAUGUGAUGAGAAUAGACUUGAAAAUAUAUUCCCUGCCCUGACAGCCAUUCUCAUUUCCCUCAAACCUAUUCCCUGUCCCCACUCUGCUCUGAGCCACGGGAGCCCGACCCCACAGGCCCCCUGACCCAGGCCAUCACAUGUCCCAGUGGGCUCUGUGGGGGCAGGCUCUGUGGGGGCUGCAGGAGGGAGGGAGGGAGACACUGGGGUAUUUCUCCUUUGUUUCCUGUCUCCAGCAGAGUCUGUGCCUCUUCCCUCCAGCUCCUGCCCAGCAGGCUCACCCCGAUUCUGGCUCCUGCUGGGAGCCUGGAUCCUGAACUGCAGGAGAGCCACCAUCUCCCUUUGUCCCUCUGCUCUAGAAGUAGCAGCAAGUCCCUGAAUUCCUGGGGCAGCCCAUCGGCCUCACCUGUCUCUGUGUGCUUCAAGCAGAACUGAAGUCCUGCUUGGGCUUUGACAGAGGUGGCCUCCAAAGAAAUUAACAGUGACCCACAAGGUGCUAUUGUAUGGGUUCAGUGUGCCAUCACAGUCCCCGUGUCCUUCCCUGUCCUGCUCACAGCACGACAUGCACUGUGCAUGCAAUGCUCUUCCCCAGGACACAGCUUCCUGAUGAUUCACUUCUCGCCAGCCCAAAGGAUGUUAGCCCUUUCUUCCUUUCCAAUUUUGUUUUCUUUCUACAAUGUUCUCUAUCUUUUUUUUUUUUUAAUCAUUCCUCUGGGCCUCUCCUCAGAGCUCAGAUGCACAGUGCUGCCAAUUUUUUGUCCAUGCAAUGAAAGUCGCUUUGUUGUUUUGUUUCUGAUUAUAUGAAUCAUAUUUGUGCACUGUAGAAACCUGAAUGAUACAUACGUAUAGAACAGAAGAAGUGUAAAUGGUGUGAAAUUCCAUCACCCACAACUAUGGCAGAAGAGUCAGUGAGGGGACCGGUGACCACCCUUAUGCUCCCCUCUCUCCUGUUCCCCAUGACCUUCCUACAAGUUUUGUAAAAUUAAUCACCCCAACCCCAUCCACAAAACUUCCCUCCAUCCACACCCAGACAACAAAACCCAACCAAACAUCCCAGGGAGAACUCCUCAGAUCCUUCUCUGAGCUCCCAUACUUGCACACACACAGACCUCUGUGCGGCAGGCUUGUUUUGCUGUUGGUAGGUUUUGUUUCACAUUAAGCAAGAUAACAUUAUCUCCUACCCUCUAUCUUGCUUUUCUUGCUUACUAUAAUGUAUCUCAAUUAAGUGGAGGUAUAAAGGAACAUACCUAAACAUAACAAAGGCCAUAUAUGACAAGCCCACAACUGACACCAUUCUCCAUGGUGAAAUGCUGAAAGCUUUUUCUCUGAGAUCAGGAAUAAAACGAGGAUACCCAGUCUCGACACUUUUAUUUGACUUUAGUAUUAGAAAUCUUAGCCAGAGCAAUUAGGCAAGAUAAAGAAAUAAAUGGCAUCCAAGUCAAAAAAAGAAAAAAAGGGGCAUCCAAGUAGGAAAGAAAAAAUAAAUCUUUGAUUCUCUGCAGAUGACAUUAUAUUAUACAUAGAAAACCCUAAAGACUGAAUAAAAAAAAAAGUUAAAACCAAUAAAAGAAUUUAGUGAAGUUGCAGGGUACAAAAUCCAUACCCAAAAAUCUGUUGCAUUUCUAUUACUAAUAAUAAACUAUCAGAGAAAUUAAGAAAAUAUUCUCAUUAACAAUUGUGUCCAAAAGAAUAAAACGCUUCAGAAUAAAUUCAACCAAGGUGAUGUAAAGACCUGCUUAUUAAGAUGUUAAUAAAAGAAGUUGAGGAAGGCACAAAUAAAUGGAAAGAUAUACCAUGCUCAUGGAUUGGAAGAAUUAAUAUUAUUCAAAUGUCCAUACCCCCCAGAGCAAUCUACAGGUUUAAUGCAAUGCCUAUCAAAAUUUCAAUGACACUAAAAAGUAUAUAUAUAUAGCAAACAAUCUUAAAAUAUGUGUGGCACAAAAGACCCCAAAUAG
Canis lupus familiaris (dog) is the source of this 4589-nucleotide long non-coding RNA. RefSeq lists it as uncharacterized. Lineage: Eukaryota; Metazoa; Chordata; Mammalia; Carnivora; Canidae. The transcript has 4 exons. The record is from RefSeq and is a predicted model, not a curated record.